UUUCCGUAGGUGAACCUGCGGAAGGAUCAUUAAUGAGUUGUCAUGGGGUUCGAUGCUGGCAGCCGGUUUUUGGAUGCAUGUGCUUGCCCUAACAAUCAUCUUCUUCCAAACACCUGUGCACAUUUUUGAGGGAGUCUUGAGUUGGUUGCCGCUCUUGGGUGAUUUUCUCACAUUCCCUUAAAUCAUUAUACGCUAUUAACAAUGUUGAACGUGCUCUGUGCCGCAAGGCCAUUAAUAUAAUACAACUUUUAACAACGGAUCUCUUGGCUCUC
RNAcentral lists this unclassified non-coding RNA (272 nucleotides) under plant metagenome. Its description in RNAcentral is "partial contains small subunit ribosomal RNA, internal transcribed spacer 1, and 5.8S ribosomal RNA". The record is from RNAcentral.